GUUUUAGUUUAAUAAAACGCGUUUCUCAAAAAGAAUCGCUAGGAGACUCAGAUUAUAUAAAAAAAUGGUGUGUUUAUUAAAACUGACAGCCCAUAAAAAUAUGGAAAAACAAAACAUGACAUUUUAUUUUUUCAAAUUUUUAGUUUGGAGGGCCGCCAAAAUACUUAUAACAGUUCACAAGGGGGUGUAAUAUCAUACAUCAAACUUUCAUUAAAAAAGUAUUGAUGAUGAGUAUUCAGUAAUGAUCCAACCGCAGGUUCACCUACGGUUA
This 271-nucleotide unclassified non-coding RNA is filed under the name uncultured fungus. Its description in RNAcentral is "sequence contains ITS1". The record is from RNAcentral. Lineage: Eukaryota; Fungi.